UGAGGCGUAGCUCAAUGGUAGAACACUUGGCUGGUAUACAAGUAGCCCUAGGUUUGAUUCCUAGUACCAGAG
Molecule: transfer RNA, 72 nt
Filed under: Neotoma lepida (desert woodrat)
Lineage: Eukaryota; Metazoa; Chordata; Mammalia; Rodentia; Cricetidae
Rfam family: tRNA
About the family: Transfer RNA (tRNA) molecules are approximately 80 nucleotides in length. Their secondary structure includes four short double-helical elements and three loops (D, anti-codon, and T loops).
Source: Rfam by way of RNAcentral